GAUCCAGGCUGGUUCAUGGUGGAUUAGCAAUUAAAGAGAAUAUUCAUGAAUUCUUCUAAGUCUUCGAUGAGAGUCCUGCAUAUCCCACCACAAAUAUAAUAGAAAACUGAACUUGGUGAUCGAGCCAUUACCCAAGGCAUCGGGACUAUACAUGGAGAUAAGUAAAAUCUCAUAGGUCUUUUGCUAAGAUCAUACGAGAGUCAAGAAUGUGUGACAUGGUCUUGGAAUAC
This is a long non-coding RNA of Rhincodon typus (whale shark), 230 nucleotides long. RefSeq lists it as uncharacterized. The record is from RefSeq and is a predicted model, not a curated record. NCBI's taxonomy places the organism in Eukaryota, Metazoa, Chordata, Chondrichthyes, Orectolobiformes, Rhincodontidae. The transcript has 3 exons.